AAAGAAAGAAAAAGAAAAGGAAAGAAAGAGAAAGAAAGAAAGAAAUAAAGGUCACGAAUUAACAAUUUACAUUUCCUGCUUCUUGUCAUCGGCGUCCUUGUCGUGGUUAGCCAAAGUCUAUUCCUUUUCCCUUAACACUUUUCUAAGUUGC
RNAcentral lists this non-coding RNA (151 nucleotides) under Polytomella parva. The record is from RNAcentral. Lineage: Eukaryota; Viridiplantae; Chlorophyta; Chlorophyceae; Chlamydomonadales; Chlamydomonadaceae.